RNAcentral lists this long non-coding RNA (399 nucleotides) under Homo sapiens (human). RNAcentral describes it as "non-protein coding lnc-PQLC1-5:4". The record is from RNAcentral. Lineage: Eukaryota; Metazoa; Chordata; Mammalia; Primates; Hominidae.
UUUUUUUUCUUUUGCCUCUAGCCCAGUUUUAGAAAGGACUAUGUCUUGGUCCUUCUUAAUGGUAUAAAAGAUAUCCUCAGCCCGCCAGAUGCUCCUGCAUUUGAGUGACGACACGCUUCUCUGGCUGUGACCAACUUUUCUCCCUUUCUUUUUAAAUGACAGGACUUCUUGUUCAAUACUUGCUGGAUAUGAAGAUCCAACCCAGUGCCUCCCAUUGCAUCCACUCCUCACACCACCGUCUCCAUGGCGUGACAGUUCCUCAGUUUUUCUUUGUUGUUCAUGACCUUCACCUUUUGGAAAGGUACUGGCCAGUCACUUUGCAAAAUGUUCCUCAAUUUGUGUUUGCUUGAUGUUUUCUCCUGAUUAAAGUGAUGCAUUUUGGGCAAGAACAUCAUAAAA